Molecule: long non-coding RNA, 509 nt
Organism: Myotis davidii
Lineage: Eukaryota; Metazoa; Chordata; Mammalia; Chiroptera; Vespertilionidae
Exons: 2
Source: RefSeq, a predicted model, not a curated record
GGUGUGGGGCAGGCAGACCAGGCAGAGCUGCCCGCAUUUGCACUGGUACCUCGCAGAGUAAACAGUUCUCUGAACUUCGGCCCACUCCUGAGGUCACCAGCAGCUGAUUUCACUUUCGUUUCUUCACUGACUCUUGUUGGCCCCUGACUUCUCGGAAAGAAGGCUGUAAACAAUGCUGUCCUGCUCUCUACCCAAACUGGAGCUGGUCAGCCCACUGGCUUCAAGACCAGAUAAGUGUCUUGAUUGUAUCACACAACAAUUCCAGGAAAGACACGGGCCAACACACUCUCCAAUCUCUGAGUGAUUUAAACUGCAAGGUGUAAUCUACUGACUCUCACCUGUAGAAGAUAAAGAUUUAGCAUUCUUCUCCCCGACUCCAUGUUCCACAAGUAUAAGUCCUUUUCCCUCCUGCUUCCAAACUGGUUAUAAUUUCGUGUAAAUCAAUACUCAGUGUCUACAACACUGUGACUAUGUAAAUACUAUAUGCAGCAGCUGAGCCAUGUGGAAAA